GGGGUUGUAGUUAAAUAUAACAUUUGGGUUGCAUCCAAAAAGUACUAUAAAAGUCUGCCUCA
Molecule: transfer RNA, 62 nt
Filed under: Cryptotermes domesticus
Lineage: Eukaryota; Metazoa; Arthropoda; Insecta; Blattodea; Kalotermitidae
Description: tRNA-Ala
Source: RNAcentral